Molecule: non-coding RNA, 3489 nt
Organism: Sesamum indicum (sesame)
Lineage: Eukaryota; Viridiplantae; Streptophyta; Magnoliopsida; Lamiales; Pedaliaceae
Source: RefSeq, a predicted model, not a curated record
GAUAAAGUGACUGCAUCACAAUAUUGUACCCCGUGAUGGAAUUGUUCUACUUUCCAUUUUUCAUUUACUCCCGAUAAUGGGGCUUUCAUGAAUCGUCACCGUUGAUGAUGGGCUCUCAAUUUCUCUGCCAUUUCCCCCUUCCAAUUUGCCGUAAUUGUUAUAGUCGGUUCUUGGAUGAUGGUUAUGGUGAUGGUAAAAUUCUUUGGUGGCGGUGUUUUUCCGGUGGCCGGAGCGGCGGCUCGCGGUGGGAUUGGGAGAAGAAUGUAAACCCCAGGCAGCGCUCCAGAUUUACAGACUCUUAUGUGGCGGAGGAGUAUGAUGAGGAGUAUAGUUUCAGAAACUCAGCGAAAGAGAGGAUUUGGUGGUCUGAUGAAGACGACGACGAAGACGACGAAGGGUUUGGGAUUCUCGAAGCUUCCAUUGGGUUUAAUUGGGUUUUUAAGAUUUUUCGAGCCUUUGGGUGGAUGAUUCCUGCAGUUAUCAUCUCGUUGCUGCUUGGAACGGGACCUGACACUAUCAUCAUGGCCUUGGCACUACCCCUUGCCCAAUCAGCACUUUCUUUGGCUGCUGAAGCAUUAUUGGGAAGGGCCAAUGAACCCCCAAGACCAAGACCUAAGAACAAGAAGAGGCCUUUUGUUGGAGCCACAAACCGUACUAGAGUGAGAAAAGAAAAAGAAUUCCGAACUCAGAAGGGAAAGGAAGCUGGGAAUUAUAAGUCAUGGGUAGAUGCAAAUAAUAUUUCUACCAAAAAUGAGAAAUGUAAACAACAAAGAUUCAAUGGAUGGGACGAGCUAGAUAAUCAACAAAGAGUGGAUAAGGAACCUCGUGUUGGAUCUGCUAAAAACGCAAAUGAACCAAGAGCUCAAGCGGAAGUAAAAUUAAGGAGGAGAACAAAGGGAGAUACUCCACUUUUGAUGAGACUACUGAUUGCAAUGUUCCCCUAUCUGGGAUUUUGGACAAAGUUGUUCUAAUCUACUUUAGUUUGCAUACGAAGACAUUCCAUUCUACUCUAUUUUGCUAAUUUCGUUACUACAGUUUCCAGCCCUUAUCUAUUGGCUUACUAGAGGAUUGUUUACAGUGUAUAUAUAUAUAUAUAUCUAUAUAUAUAUAUCCUGUUUCCUGUUUUCAUAAAGAACGAAUACUGUGAAAUAAUACUACACAUAGUAGUUUAUACAGUCCUUGUUGAAUCUGAAUCUUGAUCUUCGAGUAGAAGGCUUGAAGUUAUGCGCUGUAUAGGAUAUGAUUUCAAAGUAGAUGAGUUAUGGAUGAAUGCAUCCCAGAAAACGUCAUUCCUUCUAUUACUGAAGACAUGAAGUAUGAACCUCCAGUAUUGGAAAGUGACGAGGGCGUCCAUUGGGGAAUACAAAAUGGCCUUCACCUCUCUAGGAGUACUGUUGUUUAUUUCAAGCACAAUGACAUGUUGUCUUUAGAAAGCAUUCUGGAGAAUGUUACGCACGAGAGCAGACGAGCUAAGAAGCUUAGGCGUCAUAUCAUUGUAGAAGCUGUCUAUCAGAAUUCUGGUCAAAUUGCGCUACUGGAUGAAAUCAUCAAAUUGAAGGAGAAAUACCAAUUCUGGGUAUACUAGAUGAAAGAAAUUCUUUUGGAGUUCUUGGAAGUACUGGUAGAGGUCUAACUAAACAUUGCAAAGUUCCAAAGUUCCAGUAAGUUCUCACCACCUUGCUGAUUAAUUGGUUGUAUAAUUUUGUCAUCUUCUCCAUUCCACUAGUUUUUUGCUAGAUUGCGAAGGUGGAUAUUGUCACUGCCUCAAUGGGACAUGCAUUGGCUGCUGAAGGAGGGUUUUGCACGGAAGUUCUCGAGUGAUUGAUCACCAGGGGUGCAUGUUUUUUGGUGUCCAUUAUGAAUGCAAAUCCGAACCCUAGUUUUGGGAGAUUGAAUGGUCUAGGUUUACCUGCUGUGUCUUUGGCUGGCAAAAGGAUAGGUAUUCUGGAUGCCUCCCUGAAACCAACAUAAAUGUGUACCUCAUCAGGAACUCUAGUAGCACUUGAGUAGGCUUCCUGUGUUUAGGGUGGUAUACGCAUAAAGCAUGUCUUAAAUAAUGGAAAGUAGUGGCUCAUUUUAGAUGGCCUUAAAAACCUCAGUUAUCGCACCUUUUAUAUCAUACACUCUUGCAUAGAAACACAUACAUAUUUCCAACUCAAAAUAAAAUUGGUUUUAUGUAUUAGGUUGGAGCAUUCAACCUUCAACUUUGUUGCUAAUCCCCUAGGAUGUUUCAAUUGAUCCAUUUUCCCCUUUCAUGCAUUUUUUGUUUUAUUGGAGGAAUGGGCUCCAGUGUUGCCUUGUUCGUUAUUUUUGUCAGAAACUAAGCAUCUGAGCAAUCUUUAAGGAAUUGGAUGCAUCUUUAUCCUAUAAGUUAUUUAUAUCCUUGUAGAUAGUAUUUUCUUUUGUCAAGUAGUUUUUAUGUCUCCCUAACAAUGGUAUGACAUCGUCAUUGUAAAAUUUCUUGCUGGAGAAUUAGAGAGUUUCAGUGCUUGUUGGUACUUGCUAAAUAAAUUGGUAGGAUAUUGGGUAGCAGAAUGUGUUCCCAUAAAAAAUUCUCUGCCUGAUAUCAUGUAUGGAUUACAGCAGGUUUGUCAGACCUCCAAGGCCUUGAAAUAGUCAAUGAUCUGGAAUCACCGAUAGUUUUUCUGAGACUGCAGAGGUCCACAGGAUCCAUAAAGGUUGAUCUUCGAGUUGUGGAAGAUAAUGCUAAUCAUUUAUUGAAAGAACACUCCAUCUCCGUUGCAACUUCAAAAAUAUCAACAACAGACAAGUGCAAGUUACCUGCUGGAAUCAGAUUAUUUGUUUCUGCUGCUCACACAGAAUAUGAUCUGAGGAAAGCGUGCGAAUCAUUAAAGAAAGCCACAGUCCUUUUAUUGGCAGGGCAGUGAAUCUGGCUUGUGGAUGUAAUGUGAAAGGUCUCUUGGCUGGACAGCUCUAUUAUGGAAGCCACAACACAAGACAAUGAAGAAAUUGCAUUCUCCUCUGUGCCUACAAGUGAGAGCUAACUUUGAUAGCAUUUCAUGUGUUGCAUCUCGACGUGCCUGUUACUGAUAAUGAUGGCAUUUGCAAACUCGGGACCGCGGAACUUGAACGUCUUUGUGGUGUUAGGUUUGGUUUAAUUAUGCUGCUCUUGUAUUCCAAAGUAUACUACAAAUUGAAUAUAGUUUUUGAUUGUGCUUUAAAUGCAAUUUUAUGUUUUAUUUACCAGAAACGUACAGAGUUAUGAGACACAGGCUCUUGGGAAAAAGGGCUGCUGGUUUUCUGGGUUAUUGGUGGAUUUACAAGGUUAUCUGACAGUGUCUUGAUCAUCAGACACCUUAGGAAAUAGCGUCGUUCUAUCAUGUGAAUUGUGUUGUUGGAUCUUAAACUUGAUUUGUAUUUGGAGUUCUCAGACUGCAGAAGCCUAAUGUGUUAAGUUGAUGAAUGUACAGUGUACUCAUUCACGCAUUCUACAUUUUAGUACAUGUUAUAAUAGUAGUAACGUUGUAU